GCCUGCCCAGUGACCAUGUGUUCAACGGCCGCGGUAUUCUGACCGCGCGAAGGUAGCGUAAUCACUUGUUUUUUAAAUAAAGACUAGUAUGAACGGCCGCACGAGGACCUAACUGUCUCCUUAGUCCAAUCAGUGAAACUGAUCUCCUCGUGCAGAAGCGAGGAUUUUACCAUAAGACGAGAAGACCCUAUGGAGCUUUAAACUUUUAUUAAUUAUUCUCUUCACCCCUCUAAGGAAUUAACAACCAAUUUAAUUUAUUUAAUAAAAGUUUUGGGUUGGGGCGACCAUGGAGAAAAAAAUAUCCUCCCUGAUGAAAACCUAACCAAGAGCCACAGCUCUAAGUAUUAAGACACUUAACUCCUAUUGACCCAUUUUAUGAUCAACGAACCAAGUUACCCUAGGGAUAACAGCGCAAUCCAUUUCAAGAGUCCCUAUCGACAAAUGGGUUUACGACCUCGAUGUUGGAUCAGGGCAUCCCAGUGGUGCAACCGCUACUAAAGGUUCGUUUGUUCAACGAUUAAAGCCCU
Molecule: ribosomal RNA, 527 nt
Filed under: Megophrys sp. 6 JMC-2016
Lineage: Eukaryota; Metazoa; Chordata; Amphibia; Anura; Megophryidae
Description: partial 16S ribosomal RNA
Rfam family: Bacterial large subunit ribosomal RNA
Source: RNAcentral